This 3930-nucleotide long non-coding RNA is filed under the name Homo sapiens (human). RNAcentral's name for it is "HSALNT0136236". Lineage: Eukaryota; Metazoa; Chordata; Mammalia; Primates; Hominidae. The record is from RNAcentral.
AGGGAAAAACUGAAUAUCCCUAGAUAAAAACCAAAAAGAAGCUACCUGUGAAAUUGCUUUGUAAUGUGUGGAUUCAUUUCAAAGAGAAAAACCUGUUUUUUUGACUCAGCAGGUUGGAAACACUCUUUUUGUAGAAUCGUCAAAGGGAUGUUUGUGAGCCCAUGGUGGCUUAGGAAAAAAUCUAGAAAGAGGCUAUCUGUGAAACCUCUUUGAGAUGUGUGGAUUCAUCUCACAGAACUAAAUCUUUCUCUCGAUUCAGCAGGUUGGAACCACUAUUUUGGAGAAUCUGCAAAGAGACAUUUUAGAGCCCACUGGGGCCUAUGGGAAAAAAUGGAAUAUCCUCAGAUAAAAACUAGGAAGAAGCUAUCCAUGAAAUUGCUUUGUGAUGUGUGUAUUUGUCUCAAAGAGUUAAACCUUUCUACUGAUUCAGCAGGUUGGAAACACUCCUUUUGUAAAAUCUGUGAAGGGACAUUUGGGCACUUACUGAGGACUGUGGGGAAAAAUCGAAUAUCCCUACAUAAAAACUAGAAAGAAGCUAUCUGUGUAACUGCCUUGUGAUGUCUGUAUUCAUCUCACAGAGUUAAACCUUUUAUUGUUUCGGCAGGUUAAAACACUCUUUUCUUAGAAUCUGUGAAAGGACAUUUGGGAAUCCAUUGAGGCCUAUGGGACAAAACAAAAAUCCCCAGAUAAAAACUAGAAAGAAGCUGUCUGUGAAACUCCUUUGUGAUGUGUGGACUCAUCUCACAGAGUUAAACCUUUCUUUUGGUGAAGCAGGUUGGAAACACUGUUUCUGGAAAAUCUGGAAGGGAACGUUUGAGAUCCCAUUGAUGCCAAUGAGGCAAAACCAAAUAUACAGAUAGACACGGGAAAGAAGAUACCUGUGAAUCUGAUUUGUGAUGUGUGGAUUCUUCUCAAAGUGUUAAACCUUUCUUUUCAUUCAUCACGUUGGAAACACUCUUUUUGGACAAACUGUGAAGGGAAAUUUGUGUGCCUGUUGAGGCCUAGAAGUAAAAACCAAAUAUCCUAAGAUAAAAACUAGAAAGAAGCUAUCUUUGAAAGCGUUUAUUGAUGUGUGGAUUUAUCUCAUAGAAUUAAAUGCUUCCUUUGAUUCAGCUGAUGAAAACACUCUUUAUGUAGAAUCUGCGAAGAGACAUUUGGGAGCCCUUUGACACCUAUGGGGAAAAACAGAAUAUCCUCAGAUAAAUACUAAAAAAAAGCUAUCUGAAAAACUGCUUUGUGAUGUGUGGAUUCACCUCUCAGUGUUAAAACUUUCUAUUGUUUUAGCAGGUUGGAAACACUCACUUUCGAGUAUCUGAGAACGGAUAUUUUGGAGGCCGUUGAGGCCUAUAAGAAAAAAAGCAGAAUAUCCCCAGAUAAAAACUAUAAAGAAGCUAUCUAUGAAACUGCUUUCUGAUGCAUGAAUUUGACUCACACAGUUAAAACUUUAUUUUGUUUCAGCAGGUUGGAAACACCCUUUCUGAUUAUCUGCGAAGGGACAGUCAGUAGUCCAUUGAUGUCUAUGAAAAAAACCCCAAAUAGCCCAAGAUAAUAACUAGGAAGAAGCCAUGCAUGAAGCUACUUUGUGAUUUGUAGAUUCACCUCACAAAGUUAAAACUUUCUUUUGAUUCAGCACUUGGAAACAUUCUUUUUGGAGAAUCCGUGAAGGGACAUUUAAGAACCAAUUGAGGCCUAUGGGAAAAAAAACCAGAUAUCCCCAGAUAAAAGCUACAGAGAAGCUGCUUGUGAAGCUUUUUUGCAAUGUGUCAAUUCAUCUCACAGUGCUAAACCUUUCUUUUGAGGAACCAGGUUGGAAACACUGUUAUUGUAGAAUCUGCAAAGGGACAUUUGGGAGUCCAUUGUGGCCUAAGGGAAAAAAAAAUAUCCCAAGAUAAAAAAUACAAAGAACCAAUCUGUGAAACUGCUUUGUGAUUUGUGGAUUCACCUCACAGAGUUAAACUUUUCUGUUUAUUAAGCAAGCUGGAAACAGUCUUUUUGGAGGAUCAGUGAAGGGACAUUUUGGACCCCAUUGAGGCCUAAGGGAUAAAACUGAAUAUCCCAAGAUAAAAACUGGAAAGAAGCUGUGGGUGGAACUGUUUUUUGAUGUUUGGAUUCAUCUCACAGAAUUAAACCUUUCUUUUCUUUCAGCACGUUGGAAAUACUCUUUUUGGAGAAUCUGCAAAGGGACAUUUGGGAGCCCAUUGAGGUCUAUGGGAAAAAAUGUCAUAUCCCCAGAUAAAAACUAGAAAGAAACUAUCAGUGAAACUGCUUGUCAUGUGUGGAUUCAUCCCCCAGAGUUAAACCUUUCUUUUAAUUCAGCAGGUUGGAAACACUCUUUUUGAGGAAUCUGUGAAGAGAUACUUGAGAGCUUAUUGAGGCCUAUGGGGAAAAACAGAAUAUAAACAACUAAAAACUAGAAAGAAAUCUAUGAAACUGCUUUGUGGUUGGAACACUCUAUUUGGAGAAUCUACAAACGGACAUUUUAAGGAAAAACCCAAUAUUCCCAGAUAAAAACCAGAAAGAAGCUAUCGGUGAAACUUGUUCAUGAUGUGUGGAUUCACCUCUUUUUGUAGAAUGUAUGAAGAGACAUUUGGGACCCCAUUUAUGCCCAUGGGGAUAAACUCUAUAUCCCCAGAUAAAAACUAGAAAGAAGCAAUCUGUGAAACUACUUCAUCAAGUGUGGAUUCAUCUCACAGAGUUAAAUCUUUCAUUUGAUUCAGCAUUCAGCAUGUGGGAAACACUCUUUUUGUGGUACCUGCAAAUAAAUAUUUUGGAGCUUAUAAAGGCCUAAGGGAAAAACUGAAUAUCCCCAUAUAAAAACUGCAAAGAAACUAUCUGUGAAACUGCUUUGAGAUGUUUGGGUUUACUUCACAGACUUAACCCUUUCUUUUGGUUUAGCAGGUUGGAAACACUGUUAUUGGAUAACCUUAGAAGGGCCAUUUUGGAGCCCAUUGAAGUCUAUGGAAAAAGGAAACGAAUAUCCCCAGAUAAAUACCAGAAAGAAGCCAUCUGUGAAACUGCUUUGUGAUGUGUGGAUUAAUCUCACAGACUUAAGCGUUUCUAUGCAUUCAUGAGGUUGGAAACAAUAUUUCUGGAAAAUGUGAGAAGGGACAUUUGGAAGCCCAUUGAGGCCUAAGGGGAAAAACUGAAUAUCCACUUAUAAAAACUAGAAAGAAGCUAUAUGUGAAACUGCUUUCUGAUGUAUGGAUUCAUCUCACAGAGCUAAGUUUCUUUUGAUUCAGCAGGAUGAGAACACUCUUUUUGGAAAAACAGAAAAAAAUACACAUUUGGGCACCCAUUGAGGCCUAUGGAGAAAAACAGAAUAUCCUUAGAUGAAAACUAGAAAGAAGCCUGGAAACACUCUUUAUGUGGAGUCUGCGAAGGGAUUUUGGAAGCCCGUUGAGGCCUAGGAGAAAAACUGAAUAUCUAAAGAUAAAAACUAGGAAGAGCUAUCUGUGAACCCACUUUGUGAUGUGUGGAUUCAUCUCACAGAGUUUGGAACACUCUAUUUGGAGAACCUGUGAAAAGAUUUUGGAAGCCCAUAGAAGCCUGUAGGUAAAAAGCAAAUAUUGACAGAUAAAAACUACAAAGAAGAUAUCUGUGAAACUGGUCUGCAUUGUGUGGAUUCAUCUCAGAGAAUUAAACAUUUUUUUGGAUCCAGUAGGUUUGAAACACACAUUUUGGAGAAUCUGCAAAGGGACAAUUGGUAGCCCAUUGAGGCCUGUAAGAAAAACAGAAUAUCCCCAGAUAAAAACUACAAAGAACCUAUCUAUGAAACUGCUUUGUUUUGUCUGAAUUCAUCUUAGAGAGUUAAACCAUUUUUUUUAUCCAGCAGGUUGGAAACGCUCUUUUUGGAGAAUCUGCAAAGAGACAAUUGGGAGCCCUUUGAGGCCUAUGGGGAAAAGCAAAUAUUUCCAGAUAAAAGCUAGGAAG